Long non-coding RNA from Myotis davidii, 378 nucleotides. RefSeq lists it as uncharacterized. NCBI's taxonomy places the organism in Eukaryota, Metazoa, Chordata, Mammalia, Chiroptera, Vespertilionidae. The record is from RefSeq and is a predicted model, not a curated record. The transcript is spliced from 3 exons.
UCACAGUAGGCUGUGUGACCAAUUGACUGUGUCACAGUAUAUAUGUCCACGUUGGCUGUGUGAACUGUAGGCAGUGUCACAGUAGGAUGUGUCACAGUAGCAUUGUGAACAGUAGGCUCAGUCAAAAUAGGAUAUGUCACAGUAGGCUGUGUGACCAAUUGACUGUGUCACAGUAUGAUAUGGCACAUUGGCUGUGUGAACUGUAGGCUGUGUCACAGUAGGAUGUUUGAAGAGUAGGCUGUGUCACAGUAGGAUAUAUCACAGUAGUCUUUGUCACAGUGGUCUGUAAAUAGUACAUUUUAUCACAGUAGGAUGUGUCACAUUAGAAUUCUGAACAGUAGGCUCUGCCAAAAUAGGAUAUGUCACAGUAGGCUGUGU